Molecule: non-coding RNA, 84 nt
Filed under: Blastococcus saxobsidens
Lineage: Bacteria; Bacillati; Actinomycetota; Actinomycetes; Geodermatophilales; Geodermatophilaceae
Also listed under: 1 other name
Source: RNAcentral
GAGGAAGUCGGUGCAAGCCCGACGCGGUCCCGCCACUGUGAGCCCGGCUCUGCACCCUCAGGAGCACGGGUGAGCCAGACACUC